CGAAGGGCUAGCGUUGUUCGGAAUUACUGGGCGUAAAGCGCACGUAGGCGGAUAUUUAAGUCAGGGGUGAAAUCCCGGGGCUCAACCCCGGAACUGCCUUUGAUACUGGAUGUCUUGAGUCCGGAAGAGGUGAGUGGAAUUGCGAGUGUAGAGGUGAAAUUCGUAGAUAUUCGCAGGAACACCAGUGGCGAAGGCGGCUCACUGGUCCGGUACUGACGCUGAGGUGCGAAAGCGUGGGGAGCAAACAGGAUU
Molecule: ribosomal RNA, 252 nt
Filed under: uncultured bacterium
Lineage: Bacteria
Description: partial 16S ribosomal RNA
Rfam family: Bacterial small subunit ribosomal RNA
Source: RNAcentral